Lolium perenne is the source of this 658-nucleotide long non-coding RNA. RefSeq lists it as uncharacterized. Lineage: Eukaryota; Viridiplantae; Streptophyta; Magnoliopsida; Poales; Poaceae. The record is from RefSeq and is a predicted model, not a curated record.
UUUUAGUAUUUAUGUGACCCAUUUUAUUGUGUUUUUUUUUUUUUUGCGAGAAGACACAUUUUGUUCUCAAGGCUGAGCAGUUUCUUCAGUUGAGAGCCAUGACAGCAGUAACACAAGAGGGUUUCCAGUUUGAUGCUAAGCAUUAAGAGGUUACAACAGCUAGAUGGCUCACCUGAUGGGAUGGAAGUGAUUGUUAAGUUCUCUCGGAAGAGAAAAUAUAUAUUAUUUGUGCCUUACACUGGAAAAUUACUUGAGCCAUUGAAUAAUAAAGAAGGGCCCAACCUUUAAUAUGAGGUCAGGUGUACAACGCCCUUGGAUGCAACAGACUUGACGAGGCAAUCAAUAAAACUGAAAAGUCAGUAGAGUUCCAAACAGUCUAUGGGACGUUAACAACCUAGGCACCUGUACAGGCGGUUGAAGGAUCUUCAAACAUUUGAGGAGGUAUUGUUCUUUCACUGAACAACAAAAUCGUUUCUAGAGACCACCUUUAAUCACAAGUAGACAUAUACAAUAUCGACCUGUUGAAAUUAGAAAUGUGAUAUGUGUGUACCUAUUCUGUGCAAUAUUGUGGUAUCUCAAUUUUGUACAGUGGUGUUAUGUACAAGAUCAAACCAUCAGCGUACUCCAUUUGAAAUGGCAUAAUACAUUUUGUAGUCUA